Small nucleolar RNA from Cephalotus follicularis, 107 nucleotides. It matches the Rfam family "Plant small nucleolar RNA R71". Rfam says of the family: R71 is a member of the C/D box family of snoRNAs containing the C (UGAUGA) and D (CUGA) box motifs. Multiple nearly identical copies of this snoRNA have been identified in Arabidopsis, and it is thought to function as a 2'-O-ribose methylation guide for 18S ribosomal RNA. The record is from Rfam. Lineage: Eukaryota; Viridiplantae; Streptophyta; Magnoliopsida; Oxalidales; Cephalotaceae.
AGACCAUGAUGAGGACAAUCUAACAGGAGGUCCUUGGAACAUUCCAUGCAUCGAGAGAAUGAUUCAUUGGGUCUUUGGUGAAACUGGAGAAUGUCGUUCCUAAGUUU